This 496-nucleotide ribosomal RNA is filed under the name uncultured bacterium. Its description in RNAcentral is "bacterial SSU rRNA". It matches the Rfam family "Bacterial small subunit ribosomal RNA", at positions 28 to 517 of the family's 1533-position model. The record is from RNAcentral.
GAUGAACGCUAGCGACAGGCUUAACACAUGCAAGUCGAGGGGCAGCGAGGGCGUAGCAAUACGCCUGUCGGCGACCGGCGCACUGGUGAGUAACACGUAUGCGACCUGCCCCCUACAGGGGUAUAACCCGUAGAAAUGCGGACUAAUCCCCCAUAGUCCUGGAGGCUGCAUGGCUUUCAGGGGAAAGGUCAGCCGGUAGGGGAUGGGCAUGCGGCGCAUUAGCUAGUUGGCGGGGCAACGGCCCACCAAGGCGACGAUGCGUAGGGGUCCUGAGAGGAAGGUCCCCCACACUGGUACUGAGACACGGACCAGACUCCUACGGGAGGCAGCAGUGAGGAAUAUUGGUCAAUGGGCGAGAGCCUGAACCAGCCAAGUAGCGUGCAGGAUGACGGCCCUAUGGGUUGUAAACUGCUUUAUAAGGGAAUAAAGUGAGAGUCGUGACUCUUUUUGCAUGUACCUUAUGAAUAAGGACCGGCUAAUUCCGUGCCAGCAGCCG